UUUACCACAAAAUAAAACCAAUAUCACAAACCAUAAAUUUUUUUUAUUUAAAAAAAAAACUUAAAAAAUAUUAUACAAAAAUUGGAAAAGCACAUCAAAAAUUAUAUAUAAACACGCACACAUAUAGAGAGGGAUUUACAUGUGGAGUAGGAGUGGAGCAAGGGACAGAAGAGGAAGGAGUGGGGUGGUGAUGAGACUGCUGAGAAGGAGAGGCAGAAGGGACUCUCGUGCCACCAUUGAUAACAAGCCUUAAAGGGUUUGUAGCACUCAAUCUUUGCAUUCUUGACAUUUGAAAUUCUCUUGGAGGAAUAUUUUGAGUCACAUGUUCAAAUCCUAUCUCCUUUUUUUCAUAUCUUUCAAUUCUUCAUCUUCUUUUUCAUUCUCCUUUUCUCUUUUCUCUUCUUCACCACCUACACCACACACAAAAAACCCAAAAAAAAUAAAAACAAAAACAAGAAAAAAUGUUCGAGAUCUGAUAUUAUGCCUUUGUAGAUCUAAUAUAUAUUUGGUAGCAUAAUAUUUGGGAUUAUAAUAUUUGAGAUCUGAUAUUACGCCUUGGCAGAUCUAAUAUAUAUUUGGUAGCGUAAUAUUUGGGAUAGCAUGAGAUCUGAUAGUUCUUCCACUAGUUGAACUAGCUAGAGCAUAUAUAAAUU
RNAcentral lists this long non-coding RNA (653 nucleotides) under Panax ginseng (ginseng). RNAcentral's name for it is "long non-coding RNA (PGIN_LNC014568)". Lineage: Eukaryota; Viridiplantae; Streptophyta; Magnoliopsida; Apiales; Araliaceae. The record is from RNAcentral.